GACGAACGCUGGCGGCGUGCUUAACACAUGCAAGUCGAACGGGAUGAUUUAGAAGCUUGCUUUUAGAGAAUCUAGUGGCAAACGGGUGAGUAACACGUAGACAACCUGCCGACAGGAUGGGGACAACAUUCCGAAAGGAAUGCUAAUACCGAAUGAAGUCGAGGGAAGGCAUCUUCCUUCGAUGAAAGAUGGCCUCUAUUUAUAAGCUAUCACCUGUCGAUGGGUCUGCGUCUGAUUAGCUGGUUGGUGAGGUAACGGCUCACCAAGGCGACGAUCAGUAGCCGGUCUGAGAGGAUGAACGGCCACAUUGGGACUGAGACACGGCCCAGACUCCUACGGGAGGCAGCAGUGGGGAAUCUUCCGCAAUGGGCGCAAGCCUGACGGAGCAACGCCGCGUGAGUGAAGAAGGUCUUCGGAUCGUAAAGCUCUGUUGAUGGGGACGAACGUGCGUAGGGUGAAUA
RNAcentral lists this ribosomal RNA (461 nucleotides) under Selenomonas sp. oral taxon 481. RNAcentral's name for it is "bacterial SSU rRNA". It matches the Rfam family "Bacterial small subunit ribosomal RNA", at positions 28 to 464 of the family's 1533-position model. The record is from RNAcentral. Lineage: Bacteria; Bacillati; Bacillota; Negativicutes; Selenomonadales; Selenomonadaceae.